UUAAGCGACUAAGCGUACACGGUGGAUGCCCUGGCAGUCAGAGGCGAUGAAGGACGUGCUAAUCUGCGAUAAGCGUCGGUAAGGUGAUAUGAACCGUUAUAACCGGCGAUUUCCGAAUGGGGAAACCCAGUGUGAUUCGUCACACUAUCAUUAACUGAAUCCAUAGGUUAAUGAGGCGAACCGGGGGAACUGAAACAUCUAAGUACCCCGAGGAAAAGAAAUCAACCGAGAUUCCCCCAGUAGCGGCGAGCGAACGGGGAGCAGCCCAGAGCCUGAAUCAGUGUGUGUGUUAGUGGAAGCGUCUGGAAAGACGCGCGAUACAGGGUGACAGCCCCGUACACAAAAAUGCACAUACUGUGAGCUCGAUGAGUAGGGCGGGACACGUGGUAUCCUGUCUGAAUAUGGGGGGACCAUCCUCCAAGGCUAAAUACUCCUGACUGACCGAUAGUGAACCAGUACCGUGAGGGAAAGGCGAAAAGAACCCCGGCGAGGGGAGUGAAAAAGAACCUGAAACCGUGUACGUACAAGCAGUGGGAGCACGCUUAGGCGUGUGACUGCGUACCUUUUGUAUAAUGGGUCAGCGACUUAUAUUCUGUAGCAAGGUUAACCGAAUAGGGGAGCCGAAGGGAAACCGAGUCUUAACUGGGCGUUAAGUUGCAGGGUAUAGACCCGAAACCCGGUGAUCUAGCCAUGGGCAGGUUGAAGGUUGGGUAACACUAACUGGAGGACCGAACCGACUAAUGUUGAAAAAUUAGCGGAUGACUUGUGGCUGGGGGUGAAAGGCCAAUCAAACCGGGAGAUAGCUGGUUCUCCCCGAAAGCUAUUUAGGUAGCGCCUCGUGAAUUCAUCUCCGGGGGUAGAGCACUGUUUCGGCAAGGGGGUCAUCCCGACUUACCAACCCGAUGCAAACUGCGAAUACCGGAGAAUGUUAUCACGGGAGACACACGGCGGGUGCUAACGUCCGUCGUGAAGAGGGAAACAACCCAGACCGCCAGCUAAGGUCCCAAAGUCAUGGUUAAGUGGGAAACGAUGUGGGAAGGCCCAGACAGCCAGGAUGUUGGCUUAGAAGCAGCCAUCAUUUAAAGAAAGCGUAAUAGCUCACUGGUCGAGUCGGCCUGCGCGGAAGAUGUAACGGGGCUAAACCAUGCACCGAAGCUGCGGCAGCGACGCUUAUGCGUUGUUGGGUAGGGGAGCGUUCUGUAAGCCUGUGAAGGUGUACUGUGAGGUAUGCUGGAGGUAUCAGAAGUGCGAAUGCUGACAUAAGUAACGAUAAAGCGGGUGAAAAGCCCGCUCGCCGGAAGACCAAGGGUUCCUGUCCAACGUUAAUCGGGGCAGGGUGAGUCGACCCCUAAGGCGAGGCCGAAAGGCGUAGUCGAUGGGAAACAGGUUAAUAUUCCUGUACUUGGUGUUACUGCGAAGGGGGGACGGAGAAGGCUAUGUUGGCCGGGCGACGGUUGUCCCGGUUUAAGCGUGUAGGCUGGUUUUCCAGGCAAAUCCGGAAAAUCAAGGCUGAGGCGUGAUGACGAGGCACUACGGUGCUGAAGCAACAAAUGCCCUGCUUCCAGGAAAAGCCUCUAAGCAUCAGGUAACAUCAAAUCGUACCCCAAACCGACACAGGUGGUCAGGUAGAGAAUACCAAGGCGCUUGAGAGAACUCGGGUGAAGGAACUAGGCAAAAUGGUGCCGUAACUUCGGGAGAAGGCACGCUGAUAUGUAGGUGAAGUCCCUCGCGGAUGGAGCUGAAAUCAGUCGAAGAUACCAGCUGGCUGCAACUGUUUAUUAAAAACACAGCACUGUGCAAACACGAAAGUGGACGUAUACGGUGUGACGCCUGCCCGGUGCCGGAAGGUUAAUUGAUGGGGUUAGCGCAAGCGAAGCUCUUGAUCGAAGCCCCGGUAAACGGCGGCCGUAACUAUAACGGUCCUAAGGUAGCGAAAUUCCUUGUCGGGUAAGUUCCGACCUGCACGAAUGGCGUAAUGAUGGCCAGGCUGUCUCCACCCGAGACUCAGUGAAAUUGAACUCGCUGUGAAGAUGCAGUGUACCCGCGGCAAGACGGAAAGACCCCGUGAACCUUUACUAUAGCUUGACACUGAACAUUGAGCCUUGAUGUGUAGGAUAGGUGGGAGGCUU
RNAcentral lists this ribosomal RNA (2129 nucleotides) under Escherichia coli. Its description in RNAcentral is "bacterial LSU rRNA". It matches the Rfam family "Bacterial large subunit ribosomal RNA", at positions 1 to 2157 of the family's 2925-position model. The record is from RNAcentral. Lineage: Bacteria; Pseudomonadati; Pseudomonadota; Gammaproteobacteria; Enterobacterales; Enterobacteriaceae.